CUGCUGCCCGCUUCUUCUGGGCCACCUGCCCUCCCAACCCGCAGAUUUUGCAUCGGUGCGCGUGCACGUGAGUGCGUGUGAUAAAAUAGCUCCCAAGGUCGUGCCAGCUCCUCUGCAAGUUCUCUGCGCCCGGGCAGCCUACUGAAUGAAGCCACCACAUGAAGCCACCGGCUGCCCAGGACCUUGACCUCCUGCAGCUGCUGGGCACAUCUGUAAUGCCAGCUCUCCUGGCUCAGACUCGGAGACACCUGACUCCCGGCCCCUUCCUGCGGACCUGGGCCCCUGGGCAGUGCUCCUUAUCUCUACUGUGAACAGCACCAAAGCGGUUUCCCAGCCAACUCCCCAGCUUGCACCUGCAGACAACUCCUUUAAAAUGCAAUCCACACAGGAAGUGUGGAACACCUGUAAUCCCAGCACUGGGGAGGCUGAGGCAGGAGGGUUGUUGCAAGUUUGGGACCACCCUGGGCUACAAAGUGAGCUCAAGGCCAGCCUGAACUACAUAGUGAGACCCUGUCUCAAAAAAGACAAACAAAAUAAAACUAAACUAAAAUGCAAAUCCAA
Long non-coding RNA from Cavia porcellus (domestic guinea pig), 561 nucleotides. RefSeq lists it as uncharacterized. NCBI's taxonomy places the organism in Eukaryota, Metazoa, Chordata, Mammalia, Rodentia, Caviidae. The record is from RefSeq and is a predicted model, not a curated record. The transcript is spliced from 3 exons.